CCCCAAAUAGUCCAAUCGGCAGAGACACGGAGCUCAAACCUCCGGAAGUAUGAGUUCGAAUCUCAUUUUGGGGA
RNAcentral lists this transfer RNA (74 nucleotides) under Caudoviricetes sp. Its description in RNAcentral is "tRNA-Leu". It matches the Rfam family "tRNA". Rfam says of the family: Transfer RNA (tRNA) molecules are approximately 80 nucleotides in length. Their secondary structure includes four short double-helical elements and three loops (D, anti-codon, and T loops). Further hydrogen bonds mediate the characteristic L-shaped molecular structure. tRNAs have two regions of fundamental functional importance: the anti-codon, which is responsible for specific mRNA codon recognition, and the 3' end, to which the tRNAs corresponding amino acid is attached (by aminoacyl-tRNA synthetases). tRNAs cope with the degeneracy of the genetic code in two manners: having more than one tRNA (with a specific anti-codon) for a particular amino acid; and 'wobble' base-pairing, i.e. permitting non-standard base-pairing at the 3rd anti-codon position. Lineage: Duplodnaviria; Heunggongvirae; Uroviricota; Caudoviricetes. The record is from RNAcentral.